Molecule: ribosomal RNA, 497 nt
Filed under: uncultured bacterium
Lineage: Bacteria
Description: partial 16S ribosomal RNA
Rfam family: Bacterial small subunit ribosomal RNA
Source: RNAcentral
GAUGAACGCUGGCGGCGUGCCUAAUACAUGCAAGUCGAGCGAACGGACGAGAAGCUUGCUUCUCUGAUGUUAGCGGCGGACGGGUGAGUAACACGUGGAUAACCUACCUAUAAGACUGGGAUAACUUCGGGAAACCGGAGCUACUACCGGAUAAUAUUUUGAACCGCAUGGUUCAAAAGUGAAAGACGGUCUUGCUGUCACUUAUAGAUGGAUCCGCGCUGCAUUAGCUAGUUGGUAAGGUAACGGCUUACCAAGGCAACGAUGCAUAGCCGACCUGAGAGGGUGAUCGGCCACACUGGAACUGAGACACGGUCCAGACUCCUACGGGAGGCAGCAGCAGGGAAUCUUCCGCAAUGGGCGAAAGCCUGACGGAGCAACGCCGCGUGAGUGAUGAAGGUCUUCGGAUCGUAAAACUCUGUUAUUAGGGAAGAACAUAUGUGUAAGUAACUGUGCACAUCUUGACGGUACCUAAUCAGAAAGCCACGGCUAACUACGUG